UAACAUAUGCUUGUCUCAAAGACUAAGCCAUGCAUGUCUAAGUUCAACAUUCUAUCGCAAAACUGCGUACAGCUCAUUACAGCAGCAAGAAUUUAUUUGAUGGUUUACUACUUGGAUAACCGUGGUAAUUCUAGAGCUAAUACAUGCUACGAAGUCCUGACUCUUAAUCUGGGAAGGGAUGUAUUUAUUAGAACCAAAAACCAACGGGUUGGCCCUUAAAGCCAGCCAGGACUUCGGUCCACAACUUUGGUGAAUCAUAGUAACUGAACGGAUCGCA
This 277-nucleotide ribosomal RNA is filed under the name uncultured eukaryote. Its description in RNAcentral is "partial 18S ribosomal RNA". It matches the Rfam family "Eukaryotic small subunit ribosomal RNA", at positions 25 to 273 of the family's 1831-position model. The record is from RNAcentral.